Molecule: ribosomal RNA, 440 nt
Filed under: uncultured bacterium
Lineage: Bacteria
Description: bacterial SSU rRNA
Rfam family: Bacterial small subunit ribosomal RNA
Source: RNAcentral
AACGCGAAGAACCUUACCUGGGUUUGACAUCCCACGACCGGUCUAGAGAUAGACUUUCUGUAGCAAUACAGCGUGGAGACAGGUGCUGCAUGGCUGUCGUCAGCUCGUGUGGUGACAUGUUGGGUUAAGUCCCGCAACGAGCGCAACCCUUGUCUUUAGUUGCCAGCAUUGAGUUGGGCACUCUAAAGAGACUGCCGUGGUGAACACGGAGGAAGGUGGGGAUGACGUCAAGUCCUCAUGGCCUUUAUAUCCAGGGCGACACACGUGAUACAAUGGACGGUACAGAGGGAAGCGAAGGAGCGAUCUGGAGCCAAUCUCAAAAAGCCGUUCUCAGUUCGGAUUGGAGUCUGCAAUUCGACUCCAUGAAGUUGGAAUCGCUAGUAAUCGCGGAUCAGCACGCCGCGGUGAAUACGUUCCCGGGCCUUGUACACACCGCAUAC